AAAAGAAGCUUGCUUCUUUUUGAAUCUAGUGGCAAACGGGUGAGUAACACGUAAACAACCUGCCUUCAGGAUGGGGACAACAGACGGAAACGACUGCUAAUACCGAAUGUGUUCCGGAGACCGCAUGAUUUCCGGAAGAAAGGAUGGCCUCUAUUUAUAAGCUAUCGCCUGAAGAGGGGUUUGCGUCUGAUUAGGCAGUUGGUGAGGUAACGGCCCACCAAGCCUACGAUCAGUAGCCGGUCUGAGAGGAUGAACGGCCACACUGGAACUGAGACACGGUCCAGACUCCUACGGGAGGCAGCAGUGGGGAAUCUUCCGCAAUGGACGAAAGUCUGACGGAGCAACGCCGCGUGAGUGAUGACGGCCUUCGGGUUGUAAAGCUCUGUGAUCGGGGACGAAUGGCUGGUGCGUUAAUACCGCAUCAGAGUGACGGUACCCGAAUAGCAAGCCACGGCUAACUACGUGCCAGCAGCCGCGGUAAUACGUAGGUGGCAAGCGUUGUCCGGAAUUAUUGGGCGUAAAGCGCGCGCAGGCGGCUUCUUAAGUCCAUCUUAAAAGUGCGGGGCUUAACCCCGUGAUGGGAUGGAAACUGGGAGGCUGGAGUAUCGGAGAGGAAAGUGGAAUUCCUAGUGUAGCGGUGAAAUGCGUAGAGAUUAGGAAGAACACCGGUGGCGAAGGCGACUUUCUGGAC
Molecule: ribosomal RNA, 691 nt
Filed under: uncultured bacterium
Lineage: Bacteria
Description: bacterial SSU rRNA
Rfam family: Bacterial small subunit ribosomal RNA
Source: RNAcentral